Molecule: long non-coding RNA, 506 nt
Organism: Harpia harpyja (harpy eagle)
Lineage: Eukaryota; Metazoa; Chordata; Aves; Accipitriformes; Accipitridae
Exons: 3
Source: RefSeq, a predicted model, not a curated record
UCAAUAAAGAAGCGGACACUCAUAAUGGGCUGAGCGAGCAAAGGAACGUAUUUGGUGUUGCCGGUCGGAUAACUACAAGUGGGUAAACCCCCAAUUAGCAGCAGGUCCCAGGAACUUUGCGCUCUCUUCUCUGCUGCAGUGCGGCUUCCCCAGGCAGUAUUCUCCCUGUGGAAUAUCCCAUGGCCUGAGGCACAGAGCCCUCUCCCGGGAAGGGAGCUUGAACACAUCCAGAGUGGGAACUGAAGGGAGCCCAACAUCUCUUGCUUUCCAGGACUUAGGUGCUAAGCCCACAUUAGCUGUGCCUGCACUAAUAGAGCUGGGAGACUGAGUGCAGGAGAAGCGAUCAAGAUUGGAGUGUCAACAAAGGCACCAGAUGCCACUGAUGCCUCUUCCACACUUCAGUCCUCAGGCACCACAGCAGAACCAGGAACUCUCCUGACUCCAAGGUUUCCUAGUAAAGACAGAUUUGAAGAGGGACAGCCACUUCCCUAAGUGAUAAAAAUAAA